CUCCUCCGCUCCGCCCGGGCUCCGGCCACGCCUCGGGGUGUUCCCGCAGGCUGAGCGGGGCUGCGGGACGGGCUGAGGUGUCCUCAGGGCCCCGAGUCCCGGCAGGCUUUUUCCCAGCCGGUGUCAGCCCGUGGGAAGCGAGGGUCCCUGCACCCGCUCCCUCAGCCGCUCUUGGGCGAGGGGCGCGGGCUCCGCCGUGGGCGGAAACGUUAAGGGGAAAAAAUAAAAGAGAUAAAAUAGUAGAGGGCAUACCUGAAGUUCGCUGACCCUCUCGUACAAAUCCAAUGUGUCCAUCACCAUUUUGAGGACUUCAAUAUGCGCUUGCAGUGUGAGGAUGAGGAAGGUAUGGUGUUUAACACAGCUGACCACCAGCUACUUCCCAGUCUCCUCUUCAACACUGCUAUUAAAAUCUAACUCUCAUGUUCUUCUCUGAAAGCUGGGCAUUGUCCAUGUGAAACACAGAGAAGUCACAGAAUUUCUGUGUGUGUUCUGCAGAUAAAUAAAGAAAUGCUAUGUGUGUUCUGCUAUGUGUAUUCAGCAGAUAAAUAAAGAAAUGAAAAGUUAUGUCAGGAAGAAAUAAUACCCAGAUAUCCUGGGGGAAUGGCUUUUGAGGAUCUAUAAAAGGGAACUGUGUGUUUGUGACAAGCUGUUAUCUGUUUAUAUGAUGACAGGUCCUAUAUCACAGGAGACUGAAAUGAUGCCCUUUGUCUCCUGAGCUGUGUAAAUAUAAGGCUGUGAUGUAGAAAGAGUUAAAAAAAAAAACAAAUUUCACAUUCUCUUUAAUACCAGGUGAAUCUGUCUCCUGUUUCUAUUUCCACUUCCCUGAUUCUCUUGAAUUCUGUACUUCUUGAUUCUGUGUAUCCAGAACUAAUAACUUAAGGGCAUAAGAAAAUGGAGG
Long non-coding RNA from Catharus ustulatus (Swainson's thrush), 898 nucleotides. RefSeq lists it as uncharacterized. The record is from RefSeq and is a predicted model, not a curated record. The transcript has 3 exons. Lineage: Eukaryota; Metazoa; Chordata; Aves; Passeriformes; Turdidae.